This 497-nucleotide ribosomal RNA is filed under the name uncultured bacterium. RNAcentral's name for it is "partial 16S ribosomal RNA". It matches the Rfam family "Bacterial small subunit ribosomal RNA", at positions 28 to 507 of the family's 1533-position model. The record is from RNAcentral.
GAUGAACGCUGGCGGCGUGCCUAAUACAUGCAAGUCGAGCGAACGGACGAGAAGCUUGCUUUUCUGAUGUUAGCGGCGGACGGGUGAGUAACACGUGUAUCACCUACCUAUAAGACUGGGAUAACUUCGGGAAACCGGAGCUAAUACCGGAUAAUAUUUUGAACCGCAUGGUUCAAAAGUGAAAGACGGUCUUGCUGUCACUUCUAGAUGGAUCCGCGCUGCAUUAGCUAGUUGGUAAGGUAACGGCUUACCAAGGCAACGAUGCGUGGACGACGUGAGAGGGUGAUCGGCCACACUGGAGCGUAGACAGGGUCCAGACUACUAAGGGAGGGAGCAGUAGGGAAUCGGCCGCAGUGGGCGAAAGCCUGACGGAGCAACGGCGCGUGAGUGACGAAGGCCUUCGGAUCGUAAAACUCGGUUAUUAGGGAAGAACAGAUGUGUAAGUAACUGUGCACAGCGUGACGGUACCGAAUCAGAAAGCCACGGCUAACUACGUG